UACGUAGGGGGCUGGCGUUGUCCGGAUUUAUUGGGCGUAAAGAGCGUGUAGGCGGCCAGGUAGGUCUGGUGUGAAAACUCGAGGCUUAACCUCGAGAUGUCAUCGGAAACCAUUUGGCUAGAGUCCGGAAGAGGAGAGUGGAAUUCCUGGUGUAGCGGUGAAAUGCGCAGAUAUCAGGAAGAACACCAAUGGCGAAGGCAGCUCUCUGGGACGGUACUGACGCUGAGAAGCGAAAGCAUGGGGAGCGAACAGG
RNAcentral lists this ribosomal RNA (253 nucleotides) under uncultured bacterium. RNAcentral describes it as "partial 16S ribosomal RNA". It matches the Rfam family "Bacterial small subunit ribosomal RNA", at positions 524 to 776 of the family's 1533-position model. The record is from RNAcentral.